Molecule: ribosomal RNA, 253 nt
Filed under: uncultured bacterium
Lineage: Bacteria
Description: partial 16S ribosomal RNA
Rfam family: Bacterial small subunit ribosomal RNA
Source: RNAcentral
GACAGAGGGGGCGAGCGUUGUCCGGAGUCACUGGGCGUAAAGCGCGCGCAGGCGGCAACCUAAGUGUCGUGUGAAAGCCCCCGGCUCAACCGGGGGAGGCCAUGGCAAACUGGGUCGCUCGAGCUGCGGAGAGGCCCCUCGAAUUGCCGGUGUAGCGGUGAAAUGCGUAGAGAUCGGCAAGAAGACCAAGGGGGAAGCCAGGGGGCUGGCCGCAGGCUGACGCUGAGGAGCGACAGCGUGGGGAGCAAACCGG